Molecule: ribosomal RNA, 253 nt
Filed under: uncultured bacterium
Lineage: Bacteria
Description: partial 16S ribosomal RNA
Rfam family: Bacterial small subunit ribosomal RNA
Source: RNAcentral
UACAGAGGUCUCAAGCGUUGUUCGGAAUCACUGGGCGUAAAGGGUGCGUAGGCGGGUCUUUAAGUCAGGGGUGAAAUCCUGGAGCUCAACUCCAGAACUGCCUUUGAUACUGAAGAUCUUGAGUUCGGGAGAGGUGAGUGGAACUGCGAGUGUAGAGGUGAAAUUCGUAGAUAUUCGCAAGAACACCAGUGGCGAAGGCGGCUCACUGGCCCGAUACUGACGCUGAGGCACGAAAGCGUGGGGAGCAAACAGG